UAGGGAAUCUUCCGCAAUGGGCGGAAGCUUGACGGAGCAACGCCGCGUGAGUGAUGAAGGUCUUCGGAUCGUAAAACUCUGUUAUUAGGGAAGAACAAAUGUGUAAGUAACUAUGCACGUCUUGACGGUACCUAAUCAGAAAGCCACGGCUAACUACGUGCCAGCAGCCGCGGUAAUACGUAGGUGGCAAGCGUUAUCCGGAAUUAUUGGGCGUAAAGCGCGCGUAGGCGGUUUUUUAAGUCUGAUGUGAAAGCCCACGGCUCAACCGUGGAGGGUCAUUGGAAACUGGAAAACUUGAGUGCAGAAGAGGAAAGUGGAAUUCCAUGUGUAGCGGUGAAAUGCGCAGAGAUAUGGAGGAACACCAGUGGCGAAGGCGACUUUCUGGUCUGUAACUGACGCUGAUGUGCGAAAGCGUGGGGAUCAAACAGG
RNAcentral lists this ribosomal RNA (429 nucleotides) under Actinomycetes bacterium. RNAcentral describes it as "Actinobacteria bacterium partial 16S ribosomal RNA". It matches the Rfam family "Bacterial small subunit ribosomal RNA", at positions 355 to 776 of the family's 1533-position model. Lineage: Bacteria; Bacillati; Actinomycetota; Actinomycetes. The record is from RNAcentral.